AUUGAACGCUGGCGGCAGGCUUAACACAUGCAAGUCGAGCGAGCGGCGGACGGGUGAGUAAUGUCUGGGACACUGCCUGAUGGAGGGGGAUAACUACUGGAAACGGUAGCUAAUACCGCAUACCAUCAGAUGUGCCCAGAUGGGAUUAGCUAGUAGGUGUGGUAAAGGCUCACCUAGUCGACGAUCCCUAGCUGUUCUGAGAGGAUGACCAGCCACACUGGAACUGAGACACGGUCCAGACUCCUACGGGAGGAAGCAGUGGGGAAUAUUGCACAAUGUGCGAAAGCCUGAUGCAGCCAUGCCGCGUGUGUGAAGAAGGCCUUCGGGUUGUAAAGCACUUUCAGCGAGGAGGCGUUACUCGCAGAAGAAGCACCGGCUAACUCCGUGCCAGCAGCCGCGGUAAUUC
Molecule: ribosomal RNA, 406 nt
Filed under: uncultured bacterium
Lineage: Bacteria
Description: partial 16S ribosomal RNA
Rfam family: Bacterial small subunit ribosomal RNA
Source: RNAcentral